GUCACAUCACGUUGAAAUGCCGGUCCUUGUAUGAUCACCGAAGUUAAGCAACAAUGAGCCUGGUCAGUACCUAGAUGGGUGACCAUUUGGGAAUACCAGGUGCUGUAAG
This is a non-coding RNA of Acanthosepion pharaonis, 109 nucleotides long. The record is from the annotation of a GenBank genome assembly. NCBI's taxonomy places the organism in Eukaryota, Metazoa, Mollusca, Cephalopoda, Sepiida, Sepiidae.